UAGCCCCUGCACGGUUCGAUUUGUUGCAGCUUUAUAUAAUCCUACUAAUCAAAUUCAGGGAGCCUGGCGUCGGCCGCCGGAUUGCAGACCUCCCGCCGCUGGCGGAGGAAGGGAGCGUGAAAGCGUCCGCAGGGCACCCACCUGCCAAACGGUAGGUUUUGAUUGGCUGCAGACGGCCGCGCGGGGGUUGU
Molecule: non-coding RNA, 191 nt
Filed under: Gemmiger gallinarum
Lineage: Bacteria; Bacillati; Bacillota; Clostridia; Eubacteriales; Oscillospiraceae
Description: 6S RNA
Rfam family: 6S / SsrS RNA
About the family: E. coli 6S RNA was the first non coding RNA to be sequenced, but its function was unknown until recently.
Source: RNAcentral